RNAcentral lists this small RNA (162 nucleotides) under Cedecea sp. NFIX57. RNAcentral's name for it is "STAXI RNA". It matches the Rfam family "STAXI RNA". Lineage: Bacteria; Pseudomonadati; Pseudomonadota; Gammaproteobacteria; Enterobacterales; Enterobacteriaceae. The record is from RNAcentral.
UGUCGUCUCAGGACGACCAGCCAAUGCCUCAGUAGCUUGAGAGAGGUGCCUUCGGGUAGCUACCAGCCAAUGUUUCACUGACCUGAGAGAAACGCCUUCGGGUGGUCAAAAAAGCCCUCGUAGCCCGAAAGAGGACGCCUGGAAAGUGCCAGGUGGUACACC